Molecule: unclassified non-coding RNA, 330 nt
Filed under: soil metagenome
Description: partial contains 5.8S ribosomal RNA, internal transcribed spacer 2, and large subunit ribosomal RNA
Rfam family: 5.8S ribosomal RNA (bases 1-120)
Source: RNAcentral
GAUGAAGAACGCAGCGAAAUGCGAUAAGUAAUGUGAAUUGCAGAAUUCAGUGAAUCAUCGAAUCUUUGAACGCACAUUGCGCCCCUUGGUAUUCCGAGGGGCAUGCCUGUUCGAGCGUCAUUUCAACCCUCAAGCACAGCUUGGUCUUGGGCUUCGCCGCUAACCCGGCGGGUCUUAAAAUCAGUGGCGGCGCCAUCUGGCUCUAAGCGUAGUAAUUUCUCUCGCUAUAGAGUCCCGGUGGAUGCUUGCCAGCAACCCCCAACUUUCUAUGGUUGACCUCGGAUCAGGUAGGGAUACCCGCUGAACUUAAGCAUAUCAAUAAGCGGAGGA